GCACAAUAUAGCCAGGGUGGUUUGAGGGCGUUGAUACCCGGAUGCAGAACUACUAUAUAACUUGCUGGUGAGAUCUGUUCGCUACUUCAGCUCUGGCAAGAGGCAAGAUUCGACGAACGAUCAACAAACCUUGGUUUGAAAGCUUCAAACAUCUGCAGUUACAAUGAGCAAGACUCAGCCUCAAGUCAAUGUUAUCUUGUACAGCGAUCUCAACUGUAAAGACGAAUGUGUAACAGUCCAUGCAUCCCUCCCAAGUCUUGACGACUUUGCUAACAAGGCUCAAUCAGCUAUGGUAAUCUCUGGAAGGUGGGACCUCGUAAGCAGUGACGGAAAGUAUCGCAUAGACGAAGAUACCGGACGGUAUAGUGACCUUGGUUCUUUCAAUCAAAGGACAAUCUCCAUCAGACGAGUAUAAGGCGCUGUUGCAAUGAAGCGGCCCAUUCCAAAGAAGGAUGGAUUGGAUAAGAGCUGACUUAGCAGCCACCUGAUAAUCGCGGCUUAAUGCUUUUUCCUUUUUAUACUCCAGAUUACCUUGCUAGUAUUGGCCAAUAUUCAGAUUUACUUUAGUGGGCUUGUUUGGGAUUUGGGCAGGGGUGGAGACGGGGGAACACUGUUAGGGACACUCUCACUACCUUUUUGAGUUGGAUCUUGAAUUCAAAAUCAUAUACCAUAAUAUAAUUAACCCUAGAAUUAUAACCCCGAUUAUGUUGUCGGUAAUGUCACAAUGAAAUUCUUCAAAUCAGAAAAUACAAUGCAGAAGAUAUAUUUCUUUUUCUAUUCUGUUGUACUACGUGUAACACCAGCAUUUCUAUGUGUACGCCUUGCAUCAAAUAUCCUGCUAUGAUCCGUGUAUAUUGAUUUUGAACAAUGACCACUCAAAAGAUGCAUUUGAAAUUUUGUUGUUGCAAAUUAGUCUAAACCUGAAGUAGUUGUACUAAAGUUUCAACAUAUGUCAAUAUCAGGUUUAAUUAGGAACAGUUCGUUGUUAUUGCACUCCUACUAUUUUAAUGCUAAAGAAAUAUCUUCUCUCAAUUAGUUUCGUAAAGGGCUUUGCGGUUUAAUAUGUCACUUGACACCGAAUGGAUUCAGGAACUGAGAUAAACUAAUUUUAUGCUAUGACUCGGCCAUAUUUCGUUGUUGAAAAUAAAUAUUUCAUGAAAUAUUAA
Molecule: long non-coding RNA, 1166 nt
Filed under: Haliotis rufescens (red abalone)
Lineage: Eukaryota; Metazoa; Mollusca; Gastropoda; Lepetellida; Haliotidae
Description: uncharacterized LOC124141832, transcript variant X2
Source: RNAcentral